RNAcentral lists this ribosomal RNA (485 nucleotides) under uncultured bacterium. RNAcentral describes it as "partial 16S ribosomal RNA". It matches the Rfam family "Bacterial small subunit ribosomal RNA", at positions 30 to 507 of the family's 1533-position model. The record is from RNAcentral.
AUUGAACGCUGGCGGCAGGCUUAACACAUGCAAGUCGAGCGGAGAUGAGGUGCUUGCACCUUAUCUUAGCGGCGGACGGGUGAGUAAUGCUUAGGAAUCUGCCAUUUAGUGGGGGACAACAUUCCGAAAGGAAUGCUAAUACCGCAUACGUCCUACGGGAGAAAGCAGGGGAUCUUCGGACCUUGCGCUAAAUGAUGAGCCUAAGUCGGAUUAGCUAGUUGGUGGGGUAAAGGCCUACCAAGGCGACGAUCUGUAGCGGGUCUGAGAGGAUGAGCCGCCACACUGGGACUGAGACACGGCCCAGACUCCUACGGGAGGCAGCAGUGGGGAAUAUUGGACAAUGGGGGGAAACCUGAUCCAGCCAUGCCGCGUCUGUGAAGAAGGCCUUAUGGUUGUAAAGCACUUUAAGCGAGGAGGAGGCUACUGAGACUAAUACUCUUGGAUAGUGGACGUUACUCGCAGAAUAAGCACCGGCUAACUCUGUG